GGGUGUGAUCAUACCAGCACUAAUGCACCGGAUCCCAUCAGAACUCCGCAGUUAAGCGUGCUUGGGCUAGAAUGGUUCUAAGACGGGCUUGUCUUAUGACUUUCACAGACACAGGCU
RNAcentral lists this ribosomal RNA (117 nucleotides) under Cephalotus follicularis. Lineage: Eukaryota; Viridiplantae; Streptophyta; Magnoliopsida; Oxalidales; Cephalotaceae. The record is from RNAcentral.